Molecule: long non-coding RNA, 1838 nt
Organism: Brassica rapa (field mustard)
Lineage: Eukaryota; Viridiplantae; Streptophyta; Magnoliopsida; Brassicales; Brassicaceae
Source: RefSeq, a predicted model, not a curated record
UUAAAGCUUUGUGAUAGGUUAAUUAUUUGAGCUGAUGUGGAUAGGCUAAGAGUUGAGUAUAUCCAAUUUUUAAUAUUGUUAGAUUGUCAUUUUUCAUUUAUCUUUAUGUUUAUUUUCUAAAUAUACAUUAUAUAAAUUCUGAUUAUGUGAUUUAAUCGAAUUGGAUUGUUUAUGCAUAUCAAAAAUAUUUUAAAUAAAGUUAAGUAUAAUUGAGUUAAUUUUUAUUAGGUAAAUAAAUAGCCAGAUAUUGUAAGAUUUUUGGUCAAACUAGAUCCUUUUGUAUCGGAAUUUGAAAAGAUGUAUAGCUUAAAUUAGAGAUGUUUCACUUUGUGAUUCAUCUAUAAAUGUAUUUCUCUGUAUUCUAAUUUUUAAAACAUCAUUAUUUCAUUAUCUAAGAUGAAAAUUGCUUUCAAACCUUGGUUUAUUAGUUUCAUUAUGCUCACAAUUCUUCUCCACGGUUUGUAUUUACAUUUACAGUUUUAUAAAUAUAUUUUAUAAUAAUGGAGGAAUUUUCAUGUUUACCAUAUUGUUGAUACUAUUAUUCAUGUUACUUUUACUAAAUAACCAUUUUCACAAAUAUGUUCUUCAUUGAAGAAGGAAAAAAUCUCUUUUACCCUUGCUUUAUAUAUAUAAUAAAUAACUGUAUAAAUAAAAAUAUAAAAAUUAAUUUUUGGAUUAUAUGUUUUCAAAUUCGGACUUGUUUAUAAAUUUUGUUUUUGAUUUUUUGUCGAAAUUAGUUUUUUCAAAUUUUCUUUUUGAAACUAUUUUUUUUAAAUACAAUUUUAAGUAUUUAUUUAUGUAUUUAUGAGAAUCCUAAAUUCCACAUUCCAAAACUUUAUACCACUUCUAAACUCUAAACCAUAAAUCUAAAUUAGUUAACCCUAGGGUUGUAAGUGUUUUUUUACCAAUUUUAAAGUACGGGUAAAAGUUGUUAAGGUAAACAUGAAAAAAUGAUAUUAGAAAUGUGAUAGUUUAGGCAAUUUCCCUAUUAUCAUUCAAAAAUUAAUUUUAUUUGAUGCCAUUUAUUUUAUACCUACGUAGAUUAUAUGUUUAAUUCUAUAUUAUUGAGUUUAAUGAUUUUCCAAAAAUAAUCAAUGAUUAGAAAAGAAGAUAUUUAGACUUUCAGUUUUAAAAAAAAAAAUAUAAAUAUGCAGAAAAAACUCCAAACAUAUGUCUUACAAAAGUUAUGUUUAAUUAUUAUAAUAACAGGAGAAAAAACAAUUGCAAAACGUUACAAAAUAGGCCAAAUUGGCUAGAAAUACACAAAACAUAAGUUAAUUAGUAGAUCAUGCAACAGAAAAUAUAUUUAGAUAGUUGGAGAGAGAAACAGAGGCGAAAAGACUCACCUGACCCGGGGAACUUCACUUGUGCUGUAUAUAGCCUGCAGUGAUAGGGUAGGAUAGAUAGGUCUGCAAUAGGCUUUGUGUCGGUUAAUACAUGUGUGGUCGAUCAAAAGGAAAAAGAAAAACAAGGAAUAAAAUUACCCACAAAUUUACGAAGAUGAAAUCUUUAACUUACUCUUAUGGCAUUUGGAGAAAGGAUAAAUAUUUUUUUUUUUAAAUACUGUCUUUCUAACCAAAGCAAGAUACAAAGGUAGGGAUACAAUGGAUCGAAACAUUAAGCCGACUGACCAUAUAUUAUUGUCACCGGAAAGAAAACCGGCGAAAUAAAAGUUUCCUAGAAACUACAGCCCUACCACAAGGAAUCAAACUAACAAAGAACAAGAUAAACAACAAGAUAAAUCCAGAAUAAAAUAUAGAACACAAAAUUAAAACCAACAGAUACCAAACACCCAAAUCAACCAAAAUCCUUGUGAACCUUCAACAAAAUUACCAAAU